GAUGAACGCUAGCGGCAGGCCUAAUACAUGCAAGACGAACGGUAAGUUGAGUAGCAAUACUUAGCCAAGAGUGUCGUACGGGUGCGUAACACGUAUGCAACCUACCCUAUACAGGAGGAUAGCCUAGGGAAACCUGGAUUAACCCUUCAUAGUAUUAUUGGAUGGCAUCAUUUGAUAAUUAAAACUGAGGUGGUAUAGGAUGGGCAUGCGUCUGAUUAGUUAGUUGGCGGGGUAAUGGCCCACCAAGACGAUGAUCAGUAGGGGUUCUGAGAGGAAGAUCCCCCACACUGGCACUGAGAUACGGGCCAGACUCCUACGGGAGCAGCAGUAGGGAAUAUUGGUCAAUGGAUGCAAGUCUGAACCAGCCAUGCCGCGUGCAGGAAGAAGGCCUUCUGGGUUGUAAACUGCUUUUGCCAGGGGAUAAAAUUUCCAUGCGUGGAAAACUGAAGGUACCUGGUGAAUAAGCCACGGCUAACUACGUGCCAGCAACCGCGGUAAU
Molecule: ribosomal RNA, 499 nt
Filed under: uncultured bacterium
Lineage: Bacteria
Description: bacterial SSU rRNA
Rfam family: Bacterial small subunit ribosomal RNA
Source: RNAcentral